GGCCCAGGCAUGAGAUCAGAGUCACAACAUGUAGGUGCUGGGCCAAGUGAUAUGUCACAAUGCCCACUGUAGACAGGUUCCAGGAAGAAAAAGAGCAUCACAUCAUCUAGGUGAUAAACCCUGAGAUAUCUCACAAUGACCCCUUUGUGCAGAGAUCACAAAGAAGAAUCAUAUAACCUGUGUGCUGGAUCCAGUGGUAUGAAAGUCAACACCUGUAUUUUGGGUCUAAGUACAUGAGACACAAUGGUGGACAAUCUAUACUGAGAGCCUCAAUUCUUCCUGUAGACAGUGUCUCCUCAGUGGAGUAAAAGCCUCACGGUGUGCUGAAUCUUGGUCUGAGAGUCGCCAACCCACUGGUGGACCGGAUCCACUUACAAGAGUCAAUGUUCAAACUUUCAACUGUCUCCAGCUGUGAGAUUCAGAACCUCAACAGUCACUUUACAACCUCGGAGAGGUCAUUUAACGCCUCUGUACCUCAGUUUCUUCAUCUGCACAAUGGAGAUGAUGUCCCAGACUUUGCAGCACUAUUUUGAAGGUCAGAGAUAAUGGGUAUCAGCACUGCGCCUGGGACAUGGUAGGAACUAAGUGUGACACUCUACGCCUCUCCCCAGUCCUCAGGAGCCUCAUCUACUGCUGCAUAUUAAGAUUCCCCACCCACGGCCGGGUGUGGUGGCUCACACCUGUAAUCCCAGCGCUUUGGGAGGCCAAGGUGGGAGGAUCACCGGAGGUCAGGAGUUCGAGACCAGCCUGGCCAACAUGGUGAAACCCCAUCUCUACUAAAAAUACAAAAAUUAGCCAGGUGUGCUAGCACAUGCCUGUAAUCCCAGCUACUCAGGAGACUGAGGCAGGAGAAUCGCUUGAACCCAGGAGGCGAAGGUUGCAGUGAGCUGAGAUCACGCCAUCGCACACCAGCCUGGGGAACAAGAGCAAGACUUUGUCUCAAACAAUAAUAAUAAUAAUGAUUCCCCACCCUGAUGCCUUAUGGGAAGCGGAGAGGGAGGAGAAUGAAUACUUGUUGGGUGGACCAGGCCUGCCAGAAUCAGGGUUUGCUGGCUAUGCUCUGCCUUACUUCACGUGGUCACAAUCCCAUGAGAUCCACGCUGUUAACUCCACUGGACAAAGAAGACACUGGGACCUAGGGCAAACAGAACAUUGAAACAGAGCAUUGAAAUGUCUGAAACUGAAACUAACAACAUGGAGCAAAACUUUGUGCAAAAAGAUGUUCACCAUGCCCUUGUUUAUAAGGGUUAUCAUUUGAAAAAUGCUCAAAUGUCCAAUUAUAAAGAAAUGGUAAGUAAAAUAUGACAUAACUUCUAGAUGAAGUAACUAAUAUUAAUAGUUUUUAAAAAAUCAAGCUCAGCAAAAAG
This is a long non-coding RNA of Pan troglodytes (chimpanzee), 1367 nucleotides long. RefSeq lists it as uncharacterized. The transcript is spliced from 3 exons. The record is from RefSeq and is a predicted model, not a curated record. NCBI's taxonomy places the organism in Eukaryota, Metazoa, Chordata, Mammalia, Primates, Hominidae.